RNAcentral lists this ribosomal RNA (253 nucleotides) under uncultured bacterium. Its description in RNAcentral is "partial 16S ribosomal RNA". It matches the Rfam family "Bacterial small subunit ribosomal RNA", at positions 524 to 776 of the family's 1533-position model. The record is from RNAcentral.
GACGAACCGUGCGAACGUUGUUCGGAAUCACUGGGCUUAAAGGGCGCGUAGGCGGGUUCCUAAGUCUGGAGUGAAAGCCCGCGGCUCAACCGCGGAAGCGCUUCGGAUACUGGGGGCCUCGAGGGAGGUAGGGGCGUGCGGAACUUCCGGUGGAGCGGUGAAAUGCGUAGAUAUCGGAAGGAACACCGGUGGCGAAAGCGGCGCGCUGGACCUCUUCUGACGCUGAGGCGCGAAAGCCAGGGGAGCAAACGGG